RNAcentral lists this unclassified non-coding RNA (1399 nucleotides) under Bactrocera latifrons. RNAcentral describes it as "adenylate cyclase, terminal-differentiation specific, transcript variant X1". Lineage: Eukaryota; Metazoa; Arthropoda; Insecta; Diptera; Tephritidae. The record is from RNAcentral.
AAACAAUGACACGCCUCACCGAGGAAAUGGUCAUUGCUCGCUCCAAGCAAUCCGAUUUGGGGUCCAUCAAAAAGCUCAAUUGCUGUUGAAGAGGUCGAUGGUUGUUCAGAACGAGACAUGUUUUCAACGAUCGUUCAACCUUUGAAGGUUUUGUACCACUCGUGGGCUGGUGUUUCCGAACCAUCGAAUCAAAUUACAUUUGCCAUUGGAAAUUCUAAUGCAUCAGCAGACAAAUCUAGAGUUAACAGGACGUGGAACGCCAAGCAGCAAUCAAGGGGAAGUGAUCUCAGCGAUGUCUCCAUAAUUAAAAGAAUGCGUGGUGUGGAAGUAUUGGCGCUAAGUGUCAACAAAAUAACCACACUGCAACCAUUCGAAGACUGCCUAAAACUUCAGGAAUUAUAUUUGCGUAAAAACAAUAUACAGGAUAUUAAUGAAAUCGCUUAUCUGCAAAACUUGCCAGUACUCAAGUAUUUGUGGUUGGAGGAAAAUCCAUGCUGUGAUCGAGUUGGACCCAGUUACCGCCAAACAGUGCUGCGCGCCUUGCCGAAUCUCAAGAAGUUGGAUAAUGUGGAGGUGACGCAAGAGGAGCUUGAUGAGGCGUUGCGCGCUGGUGGUAGCGGCAGUGGCAGCGGUGGUACGCGCGAAGAGGAAGACGUCUAUGAGGAUAGCUAUGCGCAACAACAACCACCGUCACGUUACGAACAACCGUCGCCUCCACAGCAACAACAGCAACAACAAGCGCAACAAAAUCACUACCCGCCACAACGACAACAACAGCAACAGCAGCAACAGCAACAAGCGUCGCAAUAUCCACACCAUCCGUCACCGCAACAGUAUCAACAGCAACAACGACGCAGUUCCAGUCCAAUGAAAGAGCCCUCGACACAAAAUAGUCCGGCAAAUACUGAGGAAAGCGCCAGCGAACCAAGCAAAAGCAACGAGGUCUCAAAACCAGCCUCACCCGCACAGGAGCCAGUUGCGCAUACACCCUCACCGAAAUAUAAUUCAUACACGAACGUGAAUCGGUUGUCUUAUCAUCAAUAUGAUAAACUGGCGAAUUCGGUGACAUUACCUUAUGCAAAUUCGGUGUACGAGUAUGUGACACCAGAACAAGGUUUGGCUGGGUGUGUUCAAGGAAAUGGUGAAAUUCGUGCCGAAUUAACACAUUUCCAUGGUCGUCGAAAGGUGGGUUGGGCAGAGACAAAUUAUGUUUGUAUGUGCGCUUAGCGAAGCGGAAAUGAACUCAUAACUCCGCAUUAGGAGCCUAGAAGCGAUGCGGUCAUUGUGCUCAUAGUCAAAGGAUCUCAGUCGCUCCCCAGGCUCGGACCAGGAUAGUCCGCAUGUGGGGUAUCGGGAACGCGCGCCCAUACCGCCUAGUAUAUCCACACAAUCGAUGAAG